GGUUCCAUGGUGUAGCGGUUAGCAAGUCUGCUUUACAUGCAGAAGGUCCUGGGUUCAUGCAGCAGUGGAGCCA
This 73-nucleotide transfer RNA is filed under the name Pteropus alecto (black flying fox). It matches the Rfam family "tRNA". From Rfam's summary of the family: Transfer RNA (tRNA) molecules are approximately 80 nucleotides in length. Their secondary structure includes four short double-helical elements and three loops (D, anti-codon, and T loops). Further hydrogen bonds mediate the characteristic L-shaped molecular structure. tRNAs have two regions of fundamental functional importance: the anti-codon, which is responsible for specific mRNA codon recognition, and the 3' end, to which the tRNAs corresponding amino acid is attached (by aminoacyl-tRNA synthetases). tRNAs cope with the degeneracy of the genetic code in two manners: having more than one tRNA (with a specific anti-codon) for a particular amino acid; and 'wobble' base-pairing, i.e. permitting non-standard base-pairing at the 3rd anti-codon position. The record is from Rfam by way of RNAcentral. Lineage: Eukaryota; Metazoa; Chordata; Mammalia; Chiroptera; Pteropodidae.